This 220-nucleotide ribosomal RNA is filed under the name uncultured bacterium. Its description in RNAcentral is "partial 16S ribosomal RNA". It matches the Rfam family "Bacterial small subunit ribosomal RNA", at positions 57 to 305 of the family's 1533-position model. The record is from RNAcentral.
GCAAGUCGAGCGAGGACUUCGGUCCUAGCGGCGGACGGGUGAGUAACGCGUGGGAACGUGCCCUUUGCUUCGGAAUAGCCCUGGGAAACUGGGAGUAAUACCGAAUGUGCCCUUCGGGGGAAAGAUUUAUCGGCAAAGGAUCGGCCCGCGUUGGAUUAGGUAGUUGGUGGGGUAACGGCCUACCAAGCCGACGAUCCAUAGCUGGUUUGAGAGGAUGAUC